Long non-coding RNA from Daphnia magna, 2269 nucleotides. RefSeq lists it as uncharacterized. The record is from RefSeq and is a predicted model, not a curated record. NCBI's taxonomy places the organism in Eukaryota, Metazoa, Arthropoda, Branchiopoda, Diplostraca, Daphniidae. The transcript is spliced from 7 exons.
UGGCUGCUGGAACCGAUGGACAGGAAGGCGAUGAAACAACUGCAGAAAAGCAAAGAAGAGAACAUGUUGCUUGCUGGUAGAUCUCUGCUUUUUCUAUCGAGUUGCAACUCCUUUUAUACUUCCUCGUCCCUGUUUCGUAGGUGAAGAACCACUGCGAUUUUAACAUAUUUUCCAUUUUUGUCUGUCUUGCCACUGAUUUUUACAUGCAAAGCUACUGGGUGCGGUUCAAGGACAGCACUGUACAAAAAAAUGCGUAGACGUUCGUUGACGAUGACGGAUCCGCGCUACAGGAAAUCCUUAUUCUCACAAGUACUACAUGGAUUCACACACAGUCAUAUGGACUUCAUAAAGAAAAAAUGUCAGGUUCUCUUCCAUUGUAAAGAAUAGGAAAAAGGUUAGAGACCGGACUUGGCUCCAAAGAAGAUGCUACCAAGUGCUGUUUUCUCAUCUACUAUUUAGAAAUCUAAUUUUUUCUACGUCUUCCGUCAUUGUCACUUCAAAGGGGAAAACAGCAAUCCACUCAUUCACAUGUCGAUGACUUCCGUAAGAACGUCGGCCAGCUGGAAAACUUGUUUGAAAAAGAAAAGAUCAUUUCAAAUCAGAAAAUCUAAAAAUAAAGUUAAUUGUAGUACAGUCCAGUGACGACUUUAUUAACGAGUUCUUACAUUUUAUGAGACUAAUCGACGUUUCGUUAUUCUCCUUAUUCAGAUACAACCAAGUUAAAUCUUAAUAUCUAUGGGAUGAAUGGAAUGGGAAACGUGCGAGAUGGAACCGUAAGUAAAUGAAAAUAUUUGAAGAUUCGCCAACAAAGUGCUGUAAUCUCCGACAACGGAUCCCCUGCAGAAAUAGGAACUGCCAUUUCAAAAUCUCGGUAAUUGGACACUGAUUCCGCUCAUUGAUUCCACUAAGUUGGAGAGAGUUUUCUAAAAAUAUUUUGCAUGUGUUUUUGUUUUGUUUCUGAUAGUUGCUGUAUUUCAUGUGCUGGGGGCAAAGCAGCUGACAAGAAAGAGCUACAAUAAUUAAAAAUCCACACAUCGGCGAUAAAGUGCCAAGGAAACGGACCGCCUUCCUCCUACCGCUUCAAUUUCUCCUUUUUCAAGAGUUUUUGAAUACUGACCUUGUUGAAAGAGGAGAAAUCAACGUCUGCUUUUAAGAUAAUCCAUCAUAUACAGAUGGAUAAACCCGCUAGACAACAACCAGAAUAGCUGCCCGUUCUCCCUGUUUCCAUAACAAAAAAACAAGACUGAUGGUAAAAAAAAAAAAAAACAUUGGCAACAAAAGCAAAGGUAAAUCCUGAACGGGUCAUUACCUUGGGAGGAAUGAUUGAUCAAAUGGCAACAUUUGCACGAAUCUCAGUUAAUCCAUUUUCAGAUAGUUCAUUGACCCUUACAUUCCCCCCAAAUUUCACGCUCUCCAAUAGCAAAAUCCUUGACAAUUAGUCCCUCAAAUUUAGUUUUUAGUGUAAAAUUCAAUUCUUACAUCAAGUUAUUGGCCAUUGGAUGCGCUUACUCAACGUAGCGUGAUCUGAUUUAAUUGUUAACGAAAGCUUUCUUAACGUCUCGCUAAUGUCUAAAGCAAGUGUAAAAUCCAGAAAACGUUCUUAGUAUCUUUUCUCCUUUUUUUGCAAUCGGUUGAACUCGUUGGAGAUUCUAAAUUUUUAUUUAUAAUAUCCGAAUUGUUUCCAAACCUAUGAAUCCAAAUGGCGGAAUGGAUACCAUGGUGGAAGAUUGUCGUUUGAUCCGGGCUGGCUGCAGAAUUUUAUGGUCAAUAGUGUCCUGCCUUUGAAAGUUUUGACGUUAAAUCAAUUCCAGCACUGCUGUUUAAAGUUUUAUCUUUAUUUAUUAUUUUUAUUAAUCAUUUUUUAAAGCUUUGUUCAUCGGUAAACCCUUCCAUAGAAUUCAGAAUAUUGGUCUCCUGUAAAUUAGUCAUUUUUGGUUGGUUUAUGUUAAGGAUGAGUUAGCAGCGUGCCCAUAGAUUAAAGAGUUCCUUUUAAUCAAUACUGCCUUGUAAGGUAACUUCUGUUUGCACUUGGGGUUUCAAUUCAUCCCCCCAUCUUUACAAACCAAGACGUGAAGACCAUUGGUCAUUGCUCAACUGCAGUCCGGAGUGGGCCCUCAGAAAUGGGAGACCUUGGAUUGCUUUUGCAUCCUUGUCUCACCAAUUCCUUGAUCUGUAAAAGUGUAGAAAUCACAAGGUGUAAUGCGAAAUGUGAGUACGAAUCUGCUGCCGAAGAUAUUGUUUGAGACCGUUUAUUGGUAAAUAUUGAAAA